This 19-nucleotide small nuclear RNA is filed under the name Arabidopsis thaliana (thale cress). RNAcentral describes it as "snRNA_01814". Lineage: Eukaryota; Viridiplantae; Streptophyta; Magnoliopsida; Brassicales; Brassicaceae. The record is from RNAcentral.
GCUCGGGGGUCCCAGUUCC